Molecule: ribosomal RNA, 351 nt
Filed under: Anidarnes sp. 1 ex Ficus obtusifolia
Lineage: Eukaryota; Metazoa; Arthropoda; Insecta; Hymenoptera; Pteromalidae
Description: eukaryotic LSU rRNA
Rfam family: Eukaryotic large subunit ribosomal RNA
Source: RNAcentral
CCCGUCUUGAAACACGGACCAAGGAGUCUAACAUGUGCGCGAGUCAUUGGGACUGGUUAAGCCUAAAGGCGCAAUGAAAGUGAAGGUCGACCCUAGCGUCGACCGAGGGAGGAUGGCUCGCGUCACGAUGCGAGUCCGCACUCCCGGGGCGUCUCGCGCUCAUUGCGAGCGGAGGCGCACCCAGAGCGUACACGUUGGGACCCGAAAGAUGGUGAACUAUGCCUGGUCAGGACGAAGUCAGGGGAAACCCUGAUGGAGGUCCGUAGCGAUUCUGACGUGCAAAUCGAUCGUCGGAACUGGGUAUAGGGGCGAAAGACUAAUCGAACCAUCUAGUAGCUGGUUCCCUCCGAA